GUCCCAGUUCGGAUUGUAGUCUGCAACCCGACUACAUGAAGCCGGAAUCGCUAGUAAUCGCGGAUCAGAAUGCCGCGGUGAAUACGUUCCCGGGUCUUGUACACACCGCCCGUCACACCAUGGGAGCCGGAAAUGCCCGAAGCCAGUGACCCAACCUUAGGGAGGGAGCUGUCGAAGGUGGAGCCGGUAACUGGGGUGAAGUCGUAACAAGGUAUC
Molecule: ribosomal RNA, 216 nt
Filed under: uncultured bacterium
Lineage: Bacteria
Description: partial 16S ribosomal RNA
Rfam family: Bacterial small subunit ribosomal RNA
Source: RNAcentral